CCUCCCUUCAUUACCCCCACUCCCUACCCUUCUCCCAACUUUUUGAUGUCCCUGUAGGGCUGGCCAGUCAGGCCCAGCCAAAGCCCCCUCCUCAGUCUCCACAGACCCACAUGUGAGCAGCCCAGGCCCAUCGGUGCUCCUCAGAGGUAGGGCUCUGCAGGUCCAUAUGGGCUCAAUGUCACCACCCUCUGCAUGGCCCUGUGUGCUGGAUGGUCCUGAAACCAGACAAGACCUCUGCCAGCCACCUAAGCCCUGCGUACAUUCACAUGCACACGUGGAAGAAUGUUUAUCGGCUGGGCUGCAGUGCCCCCACCCUCACCUUCUCCUGGUGCAUUCCUGUUUCAUCCCUGCUUCUGGACUUGGGGUACCCUCCCAAUUGCCACAUCCUAUCUGGUCCUCUUCCCCAGCCCCAUGUGGUGACCUCUUUGUCAAGAGCUUGGGAACGGGCCAGCCUGGGGAGCUAUGACUAGUCUGCUUCAUCUAGAUGGGCCCACCCCUGAUCACCAGGGGACAGGCUCCUGAGCCUAUACAGAAGGUGAUAUCUGCCUCCAGGAUUGGCUCUGCUCCCCAAUACAACUAUUUGCAGAGGAAAUUGGGAUCCUCCGCUUCCAUCCUGACUCCUGGCAGGCACACAGGCCUCUUUAGUAAGGUUCACACUAUUCAUUGAUCAUGGUGUUAGGGCAUGACAAGAAAAUGACAACAGUUCAAGAAUU
Molecule: small RNA, 713 nt
Filed under: Pan troglodytes (chimpanzee)
Lineage: Eukaryota; Metazoa; Chordata; Mammalia; Primates; Hominidae
Description: processed transcript
Source: RNAcentral